CCUACGUGCGGCAGCAGUGAGGAAUAUUGGUCAAUGGGCGCGAGCCUGAACCAGCCAAGUAGCGUGAAGGAUGACUGCCCUACGGGUUGUAAACUUCUUUUAUAAAGGAAUAAAGUGAGGCACGUGUGCCUUUUUGUAUGUACUUUAUGAAUAAGGAUCGGCUAACUCCGUGCCAGCAGCCGCGGUAAUACGGAGGAUCCGAGCGUUAUCCGGAUUUAUUGGGUUUAAAGGUAGCGUAGAUGGGUUGUUAAGUCAGUUGUGAAAGUUUGCGGCUCAACCGUAAAAUUGCAAUUGAUACUGGCAGUCUUGAGUACAGUUGAGGUAGGCGGAAUUCGUGGUGUAGCGGUGAAAUGCUUAGAUAUCACGAAGAACUCCGAUUGCGAAGGCAGCUUACUAAACUGCCACUGACAUUGAUGCUCGAAAGUGUGGGUAUCAAACAGGAUUAGAUACCCUUGUAGUC
This 460-nucleotide ribosomal RNA is filed under the name uncultured bacterium. RNAcentral's name for it is "partial 16S ribosomal RNA". It matches the Rfam family "Bacterial small subunit ribosomal RNA", at positions 338 to 795 of the family's 1533-position model. The record is from RNAcentral.